UUGCCAUUUCCUCCUCCAGGGGAUCUUCCUGACCCAGGGAUUGAACCCAGGUCUCCUGCAUUGCAGGCAGAUGCUUUAACCACCAAGCCACCAAUUGCAAAGUCCAGGCAAGAAGCGAUGAGGGUCUGGAUUAGUGCAAAGAAGGUGGUAAACAAGAGAAGGUGCUGAGAAAAGGAGAGAUGAAAUGUGGGAGGUGAUGGAAAUGGGGCAACUGAGAAGACUCCCAUAUUUCUGCUUGGGAUAAUGCCACUAGUAAGAUUUUUCUGACUUGGAGAUUGGACUUUGGGGCUCUGAUGUCUUUUUCUCAAGGCCUUGAGUUCCUAGAAGGUUCUGAGUCACCUCUUCCCCAGUGUCCAGCUCUGCACAUCAAUGGGAGAGACAGUUUUUGCUAAGACAAAAAAAUUAAAUAAGUGAAGACCGAGAAGGAUCCAUUGGGUUUGGACUUGGAAUCAUUGCUGGGUAGACACAUGGCUGCAGUGGUUUGAAGAGUGAAUGAAAGUAGAGACACCCAAUUUGGAUGGAUAUCACUAUGCACAGCUUACACUCAAGGAAUGAGGAGACAGGCUCCAUCUCUGUGUGAGUAGAGUAUCUACACAGAUUAUGAAGAAAUCUUCUGAACCACAGACUUUUCUUUCCAAGAUUAAUACGCUGACAGUAGCAGAAGAUGAGAGCAAUGAAGAGCCUCACAAAAAUAACAUCGCAAGUGUCUUAUGCACAUGUUUCUUGUACUAGUCAUUAACAUUUCCAUAGGCCAAGAAAAAAGUCAUUUAAUAGGAACUGCUGAUAACAGUGAUUUGAAUAACAUGAAGCUAAAGGACUGAAUCAACAUCUUUGGUGCUUUUUAUUUUCUAAUGUCUAAAUAGAACAGUUUGAAAAAUCAAGGUUAGUUUCAGGUCCUUAUAAUUAGCCC
Bubalus bubalis (water buffalo) is the source of this 910-nucleotide long non-coding RNA. RefSeq lists it as uncharacterized. The transcript has 5 exons. Lineage: Eukaryota; Metazoa; Chordata; Mammalia; Artiodactyla; Bovidae. The record is from RefSeq and is a predicted model, not a curated record.